GAGAAAAAAAAACCGAGAGAAGGAAAAGUAACUUUCGAAGGUUUGGAAGCCCUACCCAAUGGAAUGUUCCGCAUUCGGCUAGAGAACGACACCAUCAUCCUAGGCUAUAUUUCAGGAAAGAUACAUUCUAGUUCUGUACGAAUACUGAUGGGGGAUAGGGUCAAAAUUGAAGUAAGUCGUUAUGAUUCAAGCAAGGGAAGUAUAAUUUAUAGACUUCCCCAUAAGGAUUCGAAGCAUAUCGAAUACUCGAAGGAUAGCGAAGAUUUGAAGGAUAGCGAAUAUUUGAAGGAUACCAAAGAUUCAAAGGAUUAG
RNAcentral lists this ribosomal RNA (312 nucleotides) under Triticum aestivum (bread wheat). RNAcentral's name for it is "partial small subunit ribosomal RNA". The record is from RNAcentral. Lineage: Eukaryota; Viridiplantae; Streptophyta; Magnoliopsida; Poales; Poaceae.